RNAcentral lists this long non-coding RNA (1929 nucleotides) under Mustela putorius furo (domestic ferret). RNAcentral describes it as "lncRNA (ENSMPUG00000024894.1)". Lineage: Eukaryota; Metazoa; Chordata; Mammalia; Carnivora; Mustelidae. The record is from RNAcentral.
AUGGGAUGUGGAAAUCAGGCCUCUCCUGGAACGCUCGCGGUCUAUCCACGUUGCCACAAAUGGCAAGAUUGUCAAGUAACAUCUCCUAAUUUAAGAGUUGAAGCUAUCAUAAAUAUCAGGAAACAUACCAGGAAGAUGACAGUUUGCAACCUCUCAUGUAGAAGUCGCCCGGUUACAAACUUCCCUGCUCUUACUCUACUCCUUGCGACCGCCCACAAAAGAGGGCACAGCAGCAGGGACUGCAGGUUCUCCAGAGGGGCUGACUGAUGGCGUAGGGUUCCCCAGCUGGUAAGUAGCCUCACUCAAGUGGAAGCCAGCUCUGCAUGACUGGGUCUUCUCUUCCUGGGUAUGCCACACCCUCCCUUGCAGUCUGGUCCCAAGUCCCCUCUUCUAUUGAGAAAUGGGGAGGGAGGGUGAAUGUUGUGUGGAUAGCCAUCAUUUUCUCUCGAGUUCUAACACUCUGGGGGCCUUCUCUAAUUCUAUUUGUAAUUCCACCAAGGAAUUCGGCAGGUUUGUAAGUUAAUCCUAGCUCACUCGUUUCAGAAAAUAGAUUUUUCGUUUUUCAUUCCCAAGCUGGUCGUCUGUUUUUUCAGAAGCUGCUGUCUUCCCCAUGUACAAAAUCCGAAAUGGCAAUCGGAGUCUUAAGAGAGAUGAAGGUGAAGAACAGACCAGAAAAGAAAUAGUUAUUUUAUUGGUCAGCUGGCCAAGGAGCAGGACAAAUAUCAGUUAUAAAUAACAAAGGCCUUUAACUCACCGAGUUACCUUUUCUCUUAUGAUCAAGAUAAAACUCAAGAUUGACGAUGUGCAGGGACGGGAUAAGUUUUAAUUUCCAGAAAGCCCCCUUUGGCAUCACACAAAUAACAGGUUCCCAGCUGGUUAUACUAUUUCUCUGGUUCUUACAAGUAUCAGCUGCAAUUAGGGAUUCUCAGAAAGCUCCAGAAAAGAUAACUCUGUACAGAGUAAAUUUCAUCAAGUGGAGGUUCUUUUCUUUUCUUUUUUCACAUUUUAUUUUUAAGUAAUCUCUGCACCCAAUAGGGGGCUCAAACUUAACCACCCUGAGAGCAAGGAUGCUCCACCAUCCAAGCCAGCUGGGUGCCUUACGUGGGAGCUUCUGGUCUGGUCUUGUAUUCUUGUAUUCUCCAGGUCGUCAAAACUUGAAGAGCUAACUGAUGUAACAGGAUAAUGACACUAGCUCAAAUGAUUUCUGUUUCCUCUUUACCUUGCUUUGCAAGGAGAAUUUUAUUUUUCUGUACUGUGUAAGCAAAGUUUGAGAAAUCUGGGAAGAUAGCCAAGAAAUGUAGUCCUCUGAAAAACAAACUGGGGGUAUAAGAAGAAUGACAUUAACUGACUUCUGUGGAAAUAACACAUUUAAAUGAUGAUGGGUAAGUAGGAAGCAUUGGACUAGUGCAACGUUUUUUAAAGUGAAUUGUAAAUAGAAACCUACAAGAGUUUCAUGACCAAAUAAUUUCUUCAAGUACUGGAUUGUGAUGUUGAAACACAUUCAUUUUUGUAGAGUUUCUCAGAACCUUUAAUGUAUUGAUGUACAUUGUGAACUUCGAGGAGAAGCUAUAGUAUGUAGUAUUUUCCAAGUGUGUUUUACUAUGGAAUCAUUUUUUAAAGAUUUUAUUCAUUUAUUUGAGAAAGAGAGAACACAAGGGGGAAGGGGACAGGAAGAUGGAGAAGCAGGCUCCCCAUGCGGGGCUCCGUCCCUGGACUCCAGGAUCAUGACCAAAGGCAGACACUUCACUGACUGAACCACCCAGGCACCCCUGGAAUCACAUUUUGGAGACAAAUCUACUUUGGCAAGCUCCAUACUGGAGUAUUUUCUUAAUUUCAAAAGGGAUUCUGAUUUUCUGCUUGUAUAUAUUUCCAUAAGUAAGUUUAUUUAUACAAAUAAAUAUUUGUACAAGUAAGUCUAUACAUAAGGUG